GACGAACGCUGGCGGCGUGCUUAACACAUGCAAGUCGAACGGAAAGGCCCUGCUUUUGUGGGGUGCUUGAGUGGCGAACGGGUGAGUAACACGUGAGUAACCUGCCCUUGACUUUGGGAUAACUUCAGGAAACUGGGGCUAAUACCGGAUAGGAGCUCCUGCUGCAUGGUGGGGGUUGGAAAGUUUCGGCGGUUGGGGAUGGACUCGCGGCUUAUCAGCUUGUUGGUGGGGUAGUGGCUUACCAAGGCUUUGACGGGUAGCCGGCCUGAGAGGGUGACCGGCCACAUUGGGACUGAGAUACGGCCCAGACUCCUACGGGAGGCAGCAGUGGGGAAUAUUGCACAAUGGGCGGAAGCCUGAUGCAGCAACGCCGCGUGCGGGAUGGCGGCCUUCGGGUUGUAAACCGCUUUCGCCUGUGACGAAGCGUGAGUGACGGUAAUGGGUAAAGAAGCACCGGCUAACUACGUG
RNAcentral lists this ribosomal RNA (468 nucleotides) under uncultured bacterium. Its description in RNAcentral is "partial 16S ribosomal RNA". It matches the Rfam family "Bacterial small subunit ribosomal RNA", at positions 28 to 507 of the family's 1533-position model. The record is from RNAcentral.